Molecule: long non-coding RNA, 605 nt
Filed under: Homo sapiens (human)
Lineage: Eukaryota; Metazoa; Chordata; Mammalia; Primates; Hominidae
Description: HSALNT0076381
Source: RNAcentral
CCUCUCCUCGCCGUGUCUUCAUAUCCAGUCCUUCGCAGGCCAGCUCAGGACCAGUCACCCCGAGCUGCUUUUUCCACCUGACUCUUCUGCGUUCUUAACCUCCUAGGUUUGUAACAGUAGAAAAGUACAAUGUGGACCUGCAUAUCACUGGCCAGUAGAUCUUCAAGAGCCAGCUCCUUCAGGCUCCAAGCAGACCCUGAACUCAAGGACAAGUUGCACUGCUGAUCAUCAGCAGACAAGUUGCACUGUUGAUCAGCACCUGAACCAGGUGGUGCCGAGAAGGAGACAGAGAUGAUGAAAUAAACAUCAGCUUGGUAAUUACUUCUUAAGCCUGAUGAAAAUAGAGUUGACCGGUUGCAGCUGAAAUGUAGUUAAGACUGUGGAUAAUCAUCCUUUAUCUCCUCCUGGUCUCAUAAGCACUGAUGCUUGAGAGGUGUCUGGAAGAUUAUGCAGUGCUCUAAAUUUAUCACAUAUUCAUGUUAAGAAGAGUUUAAUGCAUUUUUCUGUGUAUAAUGUGUAACCAGAAAUAAUUGCAACAGUGAAGAUUUAUUGAAAGAUUAUGUGUCAGGUAUGAUCUUAAAUGCUUUAUGUACAUGGUUUCAUUA